GACGAACGCUGGCGGCGUGCUUAACACAUGCAAGUCGAACGGAAAGGCCCUGCUUUUGUGGGGUGCUCGAGUGGCGAACGGGUGAGUAACACGUGAGUAACCUGCCCUUGACUUUGGGAUAACUUCAGGAAACUGGGGCUAAUACCGGAUAGGAGCUCCUGCUGCAUGGUGGGGGUUGGAAAGUUUCGGCGGUUGGGGGUGGACUCGCGGCUUAUCAGCUUGUUGGUGGGGUAGUGGCUUACCAAGGCUUUGACGGGUAGCCGGCCUGAGAGGGUGACCGGCCACAUUGGGACUGAGAUACGGCCCAGACUCCUACGGGAGGCAGCAGUGGGGAAUAUUGCACAAUGGGCGGAAGCCUGAUGCAGCAACGCCGCGUGCGGGAUGACGGCCUUCGGGUUGUAAACCGCUUUCGCCUGUGACGAAGCGUGAGUGACGGUAAUGGGUAAAGGAGCACCGGCUAACUACGUG
This 468-nucleotide ribosomal RNA is filed under the name uncultured bacterium. RNAcentral's name for it is "partial 16S ribosomal RNA". It matches the Rfam family "Bacterial small subunit ribosomal RNA", at positions 28 to 507 of the family's 1533-position model. The record is from RNAcentral.